This is a long non-coding RNA of Psammomys obesus (fat sand rat), 301 nucleotides long. RefSeq lists it as uncharacterized. The transcript is spliced from 3 exons. The record is from RefSeq and is a predicted model, not a curated record. NCBI's taxonomy places the organism in Eukaryota, Metazoa, Chordata, Mammalia, Rodentia, Muridae.
ACAGACACCGAGUCAGGUACUGUUUGAUUCAGAGACGUCUUCAGUUUCUAACUCUGCGUCUCCGGCUGUCGUUGCUGUGAACAAAAGGAGGUGGGCGGUGCAAGGCACAAAACUGCAUUGCACCAAUCAGCAGUAAACAUGCUCCUAAUAACUGAGCCAUCUCAAGAGGCCUGAGCUAACUGGAAUGAUGCUUGCCUGGCUGAUCUCUCUGCUGAGUAUGGAAUUACUACUUCUAGCAAACCCCUACGUGAGUUUCAAGAUUGAACCUGCAGAAGGAAGCCUUGCAGGGGGAACAUGGAUC